AUGGAGCAGGUCAUCGGAACGCCUGAUUAUUAUUAUUCUUUCCUUCAUAAAUUUACCGAGGGCACCAUCUACUAUAACGACGAUGUCAUUCCACCUGGGGUAAACCCAAUAUAUGUUGAUGGCAUGGAACGAUACGACAUUGCUGAUAUACCUGUCGAACUCCCUAUUGAUUUGCGCGUCUGUCGAGAAAACCUCCAUCCGCUCAGUUCGAUGACGAUCAUGAACCAUCAUCACCUAUGGUUAGCGACGAAGAGGAAGUGCGCUUCAUUUCUGAGUCAGGAUAUCCGGCACGUUAUGAAGAGAAGGCUGGAACCCAGACUUCCUCGGCACCUUCAAGCCGACCUGAUCACAAGACCAUUAGUAGUGAAUCUUUACAUCACGUCCCUGGGAGCAGCAGCCAAGAAGGCGUAGUUACCAGAAGAGGUAGGCAACCUAUUAAGCGAAACGCAUUGCCAAGUGACGUUAAGAUGAAAAAAAAAAAAAAAAAAAGGACGUUAACGUACCUCGAAUGCGAGGUCGACGUUGCACUUCGUUCCUCAACGCAACUUACUGUUAAGUCAUUGUAGAACCUACGCAAAGCCAGCUGGAAUCGUUAAUUGCAUUUUAUAGACUUCAGAUUUUACCAACCUCUCUUGAAAAAGCCUUGUAGAAUCGGAGUUACCUAGGUUCGAUGAGAAUCUACACCGAAGACAAAACAUUUCAAGUUCUUUCACAUUGAUUGUUUGUAGAAUAGUUCUGACUUUUCUAUUUUUUGACUGAGAGGCCGUACCUAUCCUAGAGAUCGAAGAUUUGUCAAUUCUUAGAUCUUAUGGCCUUACAUCACUCUCACGAAGUGAAACUCUAAGGUAGGACAGCAGGAAUCCUGUGCAGAGAAUUUUGGAGGACAACUCUCUGAUUUUAUACAGAAAAAAAUUCCAGACAGGCAGUUAACCUAAGAUAAGGGAGCUUACACUGAUGUAGAAAUCGAAUUAUCUCAGAAAACUACGUAAGAAAAAGACGCCGUUCACCUACAGGCAAUGGCAUAACUCACAUGCAUUUUACGUGCUAAACAGCAGCCGGUGUCAAAAUCCGCGAGAUCUAAAGCAUGGACAAUGUAGGGAAGCGAACCGAAACUAAAAAGUCUAGGAUUAAACGCUGGUAGAAACAAAAAUGAAAAAAUAGAAACAUGAUGUUUGACAACAUUGCAUUCAAGCUGGCAGAAUCUUUCUCAAUAUAACUCAAAAAGGGUGAAAUGAUUCCAGCCUCGUUCUAAAAACCAAGUGUCAAAUCAAUUAAAACGUUUAUUACGCACCAUUUGUUAUCAACGUCUACCGGUCGACAAGAAACAGCUUCUGACCUGCUUAACUUGGAUGAUGAAAUGAUGCAACCCUCAUUUCCAAAGCCGAAAAAUAAAUCAAUGUCACAAGAAUUAGGUAGGUGACAACAAAAUGUAUGAUAUCUCAUUCGGCAUUCCUUGCGGAAAUUACCAUAUCAGACACACAAAUGCCGCUUACCACAUAGGAAAAGUCCGCAUCUAAAUUUUUCAAUUUAUAAACAGGCAAUGGAAGAUUUUGUUUCCAAUCUUCAACAUGCAGUUCGUACAGCGCGGCUGUCAACUGAUAGUGACGUAAAUAUUUGAGCUUCGGGAAGGAAGUAAAUAAUUUUGAAUAUCUGAGACAGAAACCUUGACAGUGCUUAGAUGCAACUCUGUAAUGGACUGAUAUUUGUUGUCAAAAAUGUAAUCAGGAAUUUUCUGCCUCAGUGUCAACAUAGACCUAAAAUGAAAAGACAGUGUUAGAGAGUUGAGAAACGAAAACGACAAAAUUUGCAUUAGAAUAAGUUACGUGCGUAAAAUGUCUUCUGAUUUGGAGGGAAAGAUUUCAAGUUGCUAACACCAUAGGCAUAGUUUACAUUAAUGCUCCGUUAAAAAUGGGAGCGCGAGCUUUUCUAUGAGCUCUGCGGCCCGAUUAUACAAACUAUGUCAGCAACCAUACGCAAGGCAUCGCAUUCGGUGUCUUAUCAAGCUGCUUUAAACUUUAUAUAGUCGGCCCGCAGGUGUCGAUUUUUUUAGAUAUUACCAUGAAAAAGUACUGUGAUUAACAUCCCAUCUUUAGCAAAGACGUUCGACACUAACCUAUAAAUCUUUUAUAGUGAAAAUGAAAUUGCAAGAAUGCAUAUCUUGGGGCAGAAUUUUAAAAUAACCCCCCCCCCCCCCUCAAUUGAUUCUUUAAAAAAACUAAACUAACAUCAUUGCCUGAAAUGUUCACUAAACAUUCUUUACAUAAAUGGAGAACACUGACUAGCAAUCCUUCCAGUCUUUAAGUGAUGUUUUAAAGUUGGGAGUAUUCUCUGCACCAUUAAUGUAUUAAUUUAACCAGAAUUAUCUACAUAUUACGUCUACGCAAUGCAUCAUAUCUGUCUGCGCUAAUAAUUUGAAGUUUGGUAAAUGGAUCUUUAGAAUAGAGACGAAUUAGGAUCUUGCGUUAGCAAGUCGGGACACUCGGACUUAAAACCGAAAUGUAUAUUCCUAAAUCAUGCUUUAUAGUUGCUACGGCCUAGAUCUUCCAAGAUUUAUGUCAAACAGAUAAACGGCUCUGGCUCCUGCUAUUGACUAUAUUUUAAAGGUAUUCGGUUUCCCUUCCUUUUAUGCACUUUUACGAUAUUAUUCGUUCGGACGUGGCUUUUUCUACUCUGCAAGGUAGGAUUAGGCUUUAUUGGUGCAUGAUUUACUCAUAACAUCAAAUUAUUAUUUAUUUUUCUACUUACUGAGAAGAUCUCUGGGAUUUUCUAUGGUUGAAAGAUAUGUCGACGGUGUAAGUCGGCAAUCACAUAACUCGUUUGCGGUGUCUGAAAAUCUCCGCCUCUAUGGUAAUUUUUUUAAGGGAGAACAAUUUGACACCAUUCUUUGAAGUUUUUACAGAAUUUUAUUCUCACAGAGAGGAAAAAUCACGGCAGUUUUAAAGAAUUGCCGUUGAAUAGUUUUCCGUCUAAAAAAUAAAGUAUGACAGGAAGUCUGCGACGUCGCAAACCGAGUUAUGUGAUUGCCGACUUACACCGUCGAUGUGUACAAUACCCGCCCACAACACUGGAGUUUAAUUCAUAUUUUUCUGCACAAUUUGGUAUGUUGUCCCUUUAAUCUAUGGGUUAUGCAAUGGUGUAAGCGGUUUUUUUUACUGUGCUUAAAUCCCUGUUUUUACCCUACUGCCUUGGUAGAAUUAUUUUUAAAAAUAGUCGAUUCCGAGGGCAUAGCAUGCCGUCCACAUCUGAAAAUCUUCGAAGCAGCAACCCCCCCCCCCCUCCCCCUUCCGGUAACCCCCUGAAUGAUGCCUUGGAUUUCUGUAUUUAAUUCCUGGGGUUAGGUUAGGUUUAGUUCGGGCACGUCUUGCUUCUAUGCUCUAGAUAAAUAUGGUGAACAGCGGGCAGGACCACCCGGCAGCGCUUCCUUUGCAAGCUCAGUACGGACACGUAUAUUCAAUACCGGUGCUAAGCACGGAAAACACCCAUGCGUUAAACCAAUAAUACCUUAGAACUGAUUCAGCCUCAAUCAACCAGCUUGAAGAUUCUUCCUCUCCUAAGGACUGUAAAAGUAAAUGACUCGCCAAUGUUCGACUGCGAUGGAAAUAAUCUCCGUUAAAUCGACUGAAAUGACAUGUUUGGGUAGACUCAGUACCACAUCGAUAUCAAGGGGAUCCGAUGUCGGUAAAAAUAAUAUUUGUCUCAGAGCCUACAACAAAAAUGUUAUACAAUGAGUGAAUAAAUAUCAAGAUAAUUGCUUACGCCUGGUGAAUUGCUGCGCACUGAGCGAGGCGGAUAAUUUCAUUAUCUCUCCUGAAUUCGAAAGACGCUAAGAGGAUUUAGAAAAAGUGAGUACAUGCGCACAUGUAAUUACCGCAUUUUCGCAAAAAUUACAGUUUUUUUUAUACAUGAAUAGGGCUCUCGCAAUGCUGCGGCUAGUCGAAGCAAAUGAUCCAAAUGGAUACAGGUGCCACUACUUCGCACAACCUCCAAAUAGCUACAUUUUGUUUGGUAAACCCUACGCAAAGGCACAGCUCUGGCUACAAUGGCACGGGCACCCCAUCCUUUAUGACAUUAACCUGCACUGAAAAAAAAACACAUUGGAUCCAUGGUCCAGGCUCUUAAAAACAUCGACAAGAAAAAAUGCUCUUGAUUCAAUCGGAUUUUUGCUUAGAUCAAGAACCAAGCCUCUUAAUUUGAGCGGAUUUCCUUUUGAUUUAAGCAAAAAUCUGAUCGAAUCAAGAGUAUUUUUUUGUCGAUGUUUUCAAGAGUCUGAACUCUAGAUCCAAUGUGCUUUUUUUCCAGUGUGACCUCAAAGAACAGGAUGUCAUGUCAGGCGCCCCCCUCUCCCUCUUACGAAUGAUAAGAAGACCAUCAGUUUCUAAAAGGACGAUAAGUGUCGGAGCUUUAACGACU
This 4410-nucleotide long non-coding RNA is filed under the name Bemisia tabaci. RNAcentral describes it as "lncRNA ENSSSA2NGG007610". The record is from RNAcentral. Lineage: Eukaryota; Metazoa; Arthropoda; Insecta; Hemiptera; Aleyrodidae.